CAGCAGACACAUUCCAGCCAAUCAGCAGCAGACCCUCCCUCCCAGACCCCCCCACCUCCUGGACAGCAUCCAUUUUACAUUCAUUGUGAAGCUGCAUUCUUAGUGAGCUGUCCAGGAGGUGGGAGAGUCUGGGAGGGAGGGUCUGCUGCUGAUUGGCUGGAAUGUGUCUGCUG
This 173-nucleotide microRNA precursor is filed under the name Pelobates cultripes (western spadefoot toad). The record is from RNAcentral. Lineage: Eukaryota; Metazoa; Chordata; Amphibia; Anura; Pelobatidae.